AAGCAGUGGAGGAGAUGAGAGUGUUUACUUAACAUGGUUUUAGUUGUGGUGUACUCCUACUUAAAUAUAGGUAGUGACAUAUGGAAUUUUUUAUUGUUCAAUAAUCUGAAAUAGAUUUCUGUGUUUAACUGUACUGAAAUAACUAUAAGUUAAUAGAAUAUUCAAAGAAAACUUUUUGACUCUAUUGUAUUUAGGAGUCUUUGUAUGGUUAGGUCAAGUUUCCAUGAUAGAAAGUAUUUGAAUUUUAAAACAUACUAUUAUUCUAAGGGAGAAGAUGUGGUUAUCCCAUGUGCAAGAAAGAAAAAAAAAAUGAAAUGAGUAAUUGUCAUUGCAUUAGCUGUUUGUUCAAUUGGGAAAUUGUGUCAUAAAGCUUAAAUUUGUGUGUAUCAAAUGUGAUCUACAGUAGUAUAAUGCUGUUUUGUAUAUACUGUAAGUGCUACAAAUAAUCUUAGUGCUGAAAAUGGAUUGAUAUCUCUCAAUUGAAUGUAACUUUUUAUGCAGGUGUUUUGAUAUGCCUCAGAAAAUAUCUGAGUGUCUGAAAACUUAUUAAUCUGUUUGGUGAUAAAGACACUCUUUGGGUUUUUUUUGGUUGCAUAAUUUAUGUUUAAAAUUUAAUUUUUACAUUUUUACUGUUGUUAAUUUAAGUAAAAUUUCUUCUGUGGAUAAAAUGGCAUUGCUGGUGAAGAAAAUUAAAAA
This 696-nucleotide long non-coding RNA is filed under the name Marmota monax (woodchuck). Lineage: Eukaryota; Metazoa; Chordata; Mammalia; Rodentia; Sciuridae. The record is from RNAcentral.